AGAGUUUGAUCCUGGCUCAGGAUGAACGCUGGCGGCGUGCUUAACACAUGCAAGUCGAACGAACCUUCGGGUUAGUGGCGGACGGGUGAGUAACGCGUGAGAAUCUGCCCUCAGGAGGGGGAUAACGGCUGGAAACGGCCGCUAAUACCCCAUAUGCCGAGAGGUGAAAUGAAUUUCGCCUGAGGAUGAGCUCGCGUCUGAUUAGCUAGUUGGUGGGGUAAGAGCCUACCAAGGCUUCGAUCAGUAGCUGGUCUGAGAGGAUGAUCAGCCACACUGGGACUGAGACACGGCCCAGACUCCUACGGGAGGCAGCAGUGGGGAAUUUUCCGCAAUGGGCGAAAGCCUGACGGAGCAACGCCGCGUGAGGGAUGAAGGCCUCUGGGCUGUAAACCUCUUUUCUCAAGGAAGAAGAUCUGACGGUACUUGAGGAAUAAGCCACGGCUAAUUCCGUGCCAGCAGCCGCGGUAAUACGGGAGUGGCAAGCGUUAUCCGGAAUUAUUGGGCGUAAAGCGUCCGCAGGCGGCCUUGAAAGUCUGCUGUUAAAGCGUGGAGCUUAACUCCAUUUCAGCAGUGGAAACUACAAGGCUAGAGUGUGGUAGGGGCAGAGGGAAUUCCCGGUGUAGCGGUGAAAUGCGUAGAUAUCGGGAAGAACACCAGUGGCGAAGGCGCUCUGCUGGGCCAUAACUGACGCUCAUGGACGAAAGCCAGGGGAGCGAAAGGGAUUAGAUACCCCUGUAGUCCUGGCCGUAAACGAUGAACACUAGGUGUCGGGGGAAUCGACCCCUCCGGUGUCGUAGCCAACGCGUUAAGUGUUCCGCCUGGGGAGUACGCACGCAAGUGUGAAACUCAAAGGAAUUGACGGGGGCCCGCACAAGCGGUGGAGUAUGUGGUUUAAUUCGAUGCAACGCGAAGAACCUUACCAGGGUUUGACAUCCUGCGAAUCCCUUGGAAACGAGGGAGUGCCUUCGGGAGCGCAGUGACAGGUGGUGCAUGGCUGUCGUCAGCUCGUGUCGUGAGAUGUUGGGUUACUCCCGCAACGAGCGCAACCCACGUCUUUAGUCGCCAGCAUUGAGUUGGGCACUCUAGAGAGACCGCCGGUGAUAAACCGGAGGAAGGUGUGGAUGACGUCGAGUCAUCAUGCCCCCUUACAUCCUGGGCUACACACGUACUACAAUGCUACGGACAAAGGGCAGCAAACUCGCGAGAGCUAGCAAAUCCCAUAAACCGUGGCUCAGUUCAGAUCGUAGGCUGCAACUCGCCUACGUGAAGGAGGAAUCGCUAGUAAUCGCAGGUCAGCAUACUGCGGUGAAUACGUUCCCGGGCCUUGUACACACCGC
RNAcentral lists this ribosomal RNA (1337 nucleotides) under metagenome. RNAcentral describes it as "bacterial SSU rRNA". It matches the Rfam family "Bacterial small subunit ribosomal RNA". The record is from RNAcentral.